CCCUGUUGAGCUUGACUCUAGUCUGGCUCUGUGAAGAAUCAUGAGAGGUGUAGCAUAAGUGGGAGGUUUCGGCCGCCAGUGAAAUACCAGCUACUUUCAUCGAUUCCUUACUUAUUCGGUAAGACGGGAAUUGAACUUCAAUGUUCUUGAUUUUGGUGUUAAGGAUAGCCACUUGGUGGUCGUCCGACCCGCGCCGUCGACCGUGUCAGGCGGGGAGUUUGACUGGGGCGGUACAUCUGUCAAAUCGUAACGCAGGUGUCGUAAGGCGAGCUCAGAGAGGACGGAAACCUCUCGUAGAGUAAAAGGGCAAAAGCUCACUUGAUGUUGAUUUUCAGUGGGAAUACAAACCGUGAAAGCGUGGCCUAUGGAUCCUUUUGAAUUAGAAAGUUUCUAGCAAGAGGUGUCAGAAAAGUUACCACAGGGAUAACUGGCUUGUGGCAGCCAAGCGUCCAUAGGGACGUUGCUUUAUGAUCCUUCGAUGUCGGCUCUU
This 490-nucleotide ribosomal RNA is filed under the name uncultured organism. Its description in RNAcentral is "eukaryotic LSU rRNA". It matches the Rfam family "Eukaryotic large subunit ribosomal RNA", at positions 2411 to 2892 of the family's 3401-position model. The record is from RNAcentral.